UUUGAGUGAAAUCCAAUGGCUAAAACUAUGCAAUACACUAACCACUCCAUUUCAGAACGAACUUCGUACGAACAUGAAUUGUCCAAUUUCAUGGACCAAUCGAUAUCGGAUUGAGUCCAAAAUUUGGGGAUCAUCAUAAUACGGUGGGAGGAGUCAUUUGGUGGGUUUUGAGUGAAAUCCAAUCUCUACAACUAUGCAAUACACCAACCACUCCAUUUC
RNAcentral lists this long non-coding RNA (219 nucleotides) under Prunus persica (peach). Its description in RNAcentral is "long non-coding RNA (PPER_LNC003390)". The record is from RNAcentral. Lineage: Eukaryota; Viridiplantae; Streptophyta; Magnoliopsida; Rosales; Rosaceae.